RNAcentral lists this ribosomal RNA (253 nucleotides) under uncultured bacterium. RNAcentral's name for it is "partial 16S ribosomal RNA". It matches the Rfam family "Bacterial small subunit ribosomal RNA", at positions 524 to 776 of the family's 1533-position model. The record is from RNAcentral.
UACAGAGGGGGCAAGCGUUGUUCGGAAUUACUGGGCGUAAAGGGCGCGUAGGCGGUCUUUUAAGUUCCGUGUGAAAUCCCUCGGCUCAACUGGGGAACGGCACGGGAAACUGGGAGGCUUGAGUUCGGGAGAGGGAAGCGGAAUUCCGGGUGUAGCGGUGAAAUGCGUAGAUAUCCGGAGGAACACCGGUGGCGAAGGCGGCUUCCUGGACCGACACUGACGCUGAGGCGCGAAAGCCAGGGGAGCAAACGGG